UACGAAGGGUGCAAACGUUAUUCGGAAUCACUGGGCGUAAAGGGUGCGUAGACGGCUUAUUAAGUUCGUUGUUAAAGGCUCCGGCCCAACCGGAGUAUUGCGAUGAAAACUGGUAAACUAGAGGAUGAGAGAGAGAAGUGGAAUUCCCGGAGUAGCGGUAAAAUGCGUGGAUCUCGGGAGGAACACCAAUGGCGAAGGCAGCUUCUUGGCUCAUAUCUGACGUUGAGGCACGAAAGCGUGGGGAGCAAACAGG
This 253-nucleotide ribosomal RNA is filed under the name uncultured bacterium. RNAcentral describes it as "partial 16S ribosomal RNA". It matches the Rfam family "Bacterial small subunit ribosomal RNA", at positions 524 to 776 of the family's 1533-position model. The record is from RNAcentral.